GUUUUACCUGUAAUGAAAAAGAACGGCGCGAUUUUAUACGAGAUACAGGAUACAACGAAUCGUUUAAGGUGUAGCAGCAUCGGUGGAUAGUGUUCGCGAUUUCGAGUGGACGUCCGUUUGAACUCGGACAGCACACCUGCCUCUCUUGACCUAAGUGUCCGAUGGGUCAACUCUAAAGUAAACAUCCCGCGUCAAUCAGCGAUACCAGAGGAUAUGCGACCACGAGGCUACACAAUCGUAAGAUCGGAAGGAUCGUCAUACUCUUCGCGUUAUAUUAUACAGUGCAAAUAAAUUAACUGAACAUAAUA
Bombus terrestris (buff-tailed bumblebee) is the source of this 308-nucleotide long non-coding RNA. RefSeq lists it as uncharacterized. Lineage: Eukaryota; Metazoa; Arthropoda; Insecta; Hymenoptera; Apidae. The record is from RefSeq and is a predicted model, not a curated record. The transcript is spliced from 2 exons.